This 384-nucleotide long non-coding RNA is filed under the name Mytilus galloprovincialis (Mediterranean mussel). The record is from RNAcentral. Lineage: Eukaryota; Metazoa; Mollusca; Bivalvia; Mytilida; Mytilidae.
UUGGCUCAAAAUUUUUUUUCCUCAUUUUUUUCCCUCAAAAUUUUUUUUCCUCAAAUAUUUUUUUUUCCUCAAAAUAUUUUUCCUCAAAAAGUUUUUCUUCUAAUUUUUUUUUCAUUUCCUUAUUCGUUUUCUUUUUCCUUUUUCGAUUAUCAUCCUUAUUCGAUUUCCAUUUCCUUAGUCGAUUUUCACUUCCUUAUUUGAUUUUCUUUUCCCUAUUCGGUUUCUUCUUCCUUUUUCAAUAUUCAUUUCCUUUUUCGGUUUCUAUUUCCUUAUUCGGUUUCUAUUUCCUUAUUGGAUUUUCAUUUCCUUAUUCGAUUUCCAUUUCCUUAUUCAAUUUUCAUUUCCUUAUUCGGUUUCUUUUUUCCUUAUUUCGGUUUCUUUUCC